This 76-nucleotide transfer RNA is filed under the name Clostridia bacterium. RNAcentral describes it as "tRNA-Ala". It matches the Rfam family "tRNA". Rfam says of the family: Transfer RNA (tRNA) molecules are approximately 80 nucleotides in length. Lineage: Bacteria; Bacillati; Bacillota; Clostridia. The record is from RNAcentral.
GGGGAAUUAGCUCAGCUGGGAGAGCGCUGCGUUCGCAAUGCAGAGGUCAGGAGUUCGAUCCUCCUAUUUUCCACCA